Molecule: ribosomal RNA, 887 nt
Filed under: Talaromyces bacillisporus
Lineage: Eukaryota; Fungi; Ascomycota; Eurotiomycetes; Eurotiales; Trichocomaceae
Description: LSU rRNA
Rfam family: Eukaryotic large subunit ribosomal RNA
Source: RNAcentral
GCAUAUCAAUAAGCGGAAGGAAAAGAAAACCAACAGGGAUUGCCUCAGUAACGGCGAGUGAAGCGGCAAGAGCUCAAAUUUGAAAUCUGGCCCCGUCGGGGUCCGAGUUGUAAUUUGGAGAGGAUGCUUCGGGUGUCGCCCCCGUCUAAGUGCCCUGGAACGGGUCGUCAUAGAGGGUGAGAAUCCCGUCUGGGAUGGGUGGUGCCACCUGUGUGAAGCUCCUUCGAAGAGUCGAGUUGUUUUGGGAAUGCAGCUCUAAGUGGGUGGUAAAUUUCAUCUAAAAGCUAAAUACUGGCCGGAGACCGAUAGCGCACAAAGUAGAGUGAUCGAAAGAUGAAAAGCACUUUGAAAAGAGAGUUAAACAGCACGUGAAAUUGUUGAAAGGGAAGCGUUGGGCACCAGACUCGCCCGGGAGGGCUCAGCCGGCACGUGUGUCGGUGCACUCCUUCCUGGGCGGGCCAGCGUCGGUUUGGGCGGCCGGUCAAAGGCCCCGGGAAUGUAGCACCCUCCGGGGUGCCUUAUAGCCUGGGGUGCCAUGCGACCUGCCCGGACCGAGGAACGCGCUCCGGCUCGGACGCUGGCGUAAUGGUGGUCAACGGCCCGUCUUGAAACACGGACCAAGGAGUCUAACAUCUAUGCGAGUGUUCGGGUGUCAAACCCGUCCGCGCAGUGAAAGCGAACGGAGGUGGGAACCCCCCCGGGGGUGCACCAUCGGACCGAUCCUGAUGUCUUCGGAUUGGAUUUGAGUAAGAGCAUAGCUGUUGGGACCCGAAAGAUGGUGAACUAUGCCUGAAUAGGGCGAAGCCAGAGGAAACUCUGGUGGAGGCUCGCAGCGGUUCUGACGUGCAAAUCGAUCGUCAAAUUUGGGUAUAGGGGCGAAAGACUAA